This is a long non-coding RNA of Amphiprion ocellaris (clown anemonefish), 1541 nucleotides long. The record is from Ensembl. NCBI's taxonomy places the organism in Eukaryota, Metazoa, Chordata, Actinopteri, Pomacentridae.
UGAGUUUAAACUCCUGGGUAUGUUUGACACUGAAGGACAAUAUUCUCCAUGAAUUAGAUGCGAAGCGUCUCUCAAGUGUCUCCAAAACUCCGGCAGGAUGGAGGCGUGUGUGGUAAAGCCAGAAGUCAAGAAGAAACCAAACCCGCCCAAGGCUCCUCCGAAGCCUGCAGAGGUCAAAAGAAAUGAAGCAGAGAGACCAGGUCCUGUGGUUCCUCCACGACCAAGAGAUGAUGAACUGAGUCAAACACAAUAUAGACUACAGAGCUCAGCAGUGGAAAACAAACAGACUGAUGGAAACGCGAAGCAACGAGAGACAAAAGAGAAACUGCCUGAAACUCCCGUCAUUCCACCCAGACCUACAGAAAAGGAACUGAACAAUGCAACCAGAUGCAGUCAGCGCAGGAGGGUCCAGGCUGAGGACAUGGAGAGCUUCAGAGAAACUGUCCAACCAGAAACUGAAGAAGUUCCCAGAGAUGAAGCCGACUUCAAACAGAGUUACAUGAUCCACACCUUUGACGAAGAGGAGAAAACCGACGAGGCCCCAGUCAAACAGGCUCCUGGCAGCAAACCGGGUGUUCUGAAGGGAGUAAUGAAAGGGUUGCAGAUCAAGUCGUCACCAAAGGCCAGCAGAGACCCGAGUCCAGAUUCGAAGGCAGAGGAAGGAGGCUCAGAAAAGGAACAAUCUGCAGAAAAAAACAAGCCAGAGAAAAAUGCAGAACCCAAACAGGACAAAGGAGGUCUGCUCGCUGGAAUGUUCCGAAAAACACCCAAAGAGAAAUUAUCUUCUCCAGCAGUGAUGGUCAGUAAAGCAAACAGUGAUACCGAGCAUGCAGAAGAAGAAGGGAAAACAUCAGAACAGUCCAACGAAAAGGGAGGCUUCUUCUCUGGCAUCCUUAAAAAAUCCAACAAACCAGCAGAUGAGAUGUCUGCACAGGAGACUCUGAGUGCUCAUAGUGAUCUAUCUGCCAGCAGCGACAGUCUGUCUGAAAACAGGGAAAAAGGAAAAAUUUUUGGCGGGAUUUUCAAGAAGUCGCGGAAACCAGCAGAAGCCGCUCAAACCGAUGAGGACCAAGAGUCACUGCAUGGAGAUCUGUCCAGCAGCACUGUUAAUCUGAAUGAAGCUCCAUCGAAGGAGAAAGGUUUUUUCAGCGGCAUCCUGCGCAAAUCUCCUAAGAUUCCUGGAGAGGGGACACCUGGGCAGGAUAAAGAGUUGCAGUGGACUGACCUGUCAGCCAGCAGUGAGAGUCUGUCAGAGAACACCAAAAUAAGGGAGAAGGGGAAUGUUUUCAGUGCGAUGUUUAAGAAAUCUCCAAAACUGUCUGAAGGCUCCCGACUGGAAGAGGUAACAUAUCUACAUACUUACUCUACAGGCCAAAAGUUUGGAAGCUGUUUCAAGUUUCUAUUCACAAAGUCUUUCUUAAAAAGGUCAAAACAAUAAAAAACAGUAUGAAUUCUAUGGAUUUUGAGAUGCAUUUACUGCAAGAUCAGACUUUUGUUUCAUUGAUUUGCGCCAGUUUCCUCAGUUUAUCUUUAGGUAUACA